CGCUCGCGUCCCUGAAUCUCCGGCCCGGGGUGCUGCGGAAAACGGCCCUGUCAUUAGAGCUGUGCAGAGAAAAGACUGGCAGCCAGAUGUGGACAACCUGCUGGCCGCCCCGCCCCACCCCGCCCCGUCACCUCCAUCCACCCUGCCACUUUUUGCGGGGAAAUAGCCUGGCUUCCUGAGCACUGUGUAAAAGCAGGGCAAAAAGCCUUCUGAGUGCUCUGAAAGGACACGGUAAGGUAAUGCAGCCUCGGUUUGCUGAACUCUAAAGGUCUGCGGGCCACGCUUGUUUGGGUCACCCGGUUUGGCUCAUCAAGGAGGGAUCACGGUGCCGGCUCUGGCCCUGCCUUGAAAUUUCUGCUCUUCUUUUUGGGUCCGGUGGUAUGCGGAAAGUCAUUUAAAGAAGUGCUUGCGGGGCUCAAGCCUAAAUUCAGGGUGGCAGCAGAUGGAUAGCACGGACUCCGGGGAGCUUGGCUUCAAUCUUGAUAUGAAAUAUUGCAGCCAGCAGCCACAGUGCUGACCACCCCUGCUAACGCAAGCACUCUUCCUAGACGUGCACCGAAGUCAUGCCCUGAUCCCCCUUCCUGCUCCCAGCGUGGUCAGUUCUCUGAAAAGGUGACUGUCACAGUGCAGUCCCUUUGCUCUGUAUCUUGUUUGGCUUUUUCCAACCACCAACUUUGGCGCCUAAUCGAAAACUACACUCCUUCAUUCCUUCAUUCCUUCACUGCUGUCUUAAGGCAAACAUAAAGAUCAGGGUGUACUUCCAGCCCAUGAGGUCACGAAUCUGGGCAUAAAUCAAAGAACAAAGACACUUGCUUUAUUAUGCGUUAUUAUUUGUCCACUUAAAGUUCUCGCAGUUCUUGGUAUGACCUUUUAAGAUUCACUUCUUGCCAAAAGUAACCAAAGGUCCAAAACCUAUAAAUCAGUCUGCUUCAAGAAACUCGUUCCUAACGCUCUGUUUUCGCAAUCUUUAUGCAGGGAUACUUUGGUUCAUUGUGAAGAAUUUAACUCCCCCCCCCUUUUUUUGUCUGUGCCCCCUCCCCUUUUAAACCAAAUGGAUGCAGAAUGAAAUUAAGGUGACUAGGUGACUGGGAUACAAUCACCAAGACUUUGGUUUGGAAGGACCGUGAGUGACCACUGGGACAUGCUCCACUCAAUACAAUUAUCCCAUUUUUUAGAAUAAUUUCCAGCCCUUGCUCCACCAAGUGUUUAGCACAUGCAAGGCUUUCAUUCUGUUUUGUUUUGACAGCACUUUUAGAAAACUUUCCUUUAUAUUGAGCCCAAAUCUUUCUCUCCUUAACUUUGACCCAAAUGCCACAAUCUGAGCUCUGAGGCAACGCAAGUGAGGUCUACUCAUGCAGCUGUGGCAACAGGUAGGUGGUGUGUGCUUGAUCAGUCUCCUGGCUGUGUGAAUGUGACCAGGGUGGAGAUGGUUUGCUUGGUGGGAGGCAGUUUCUCUAUGGUUCUGCUCUUGGUCUCAGUUUGUCCCAAUGAGUUGCUUUGGGUUCACUAGUGGGUUAAUUUAGAAACGAAGUUUGGGAAGCACCUUCCUAACCAUUUCCUUAUCAUCUUCCCAGACAUUCAAACCAGUCACCUUUAAGGAGCAAAUGUCUUCUCUUCUUUUGUGUGAUUUGCCAUAAAGUGCUUUAGUUUCCUGCCCCCUGGCACAUUUCUACUGUUACUUCAGUGCCAUAUUUCUUUCUGAACCAUCUAUUUCCGAUCCAAUUUGCUAUUUAGAAAACAUAAAUCAUUAGCUGGCACAUUCCAUGUGGAGUUGCCUAAAAUUAAACAUCGCACAAAGUUUGUACCACAUUUUUUGGCUUUGUUUAACGGUCUCUUUGUUUGCUGUAUCUUGCUCUUGGUAGGUACUCACUAAAUUUGUUAAUGAUUUCUUGUUUUUACUAGACAAGAACCUGGCUUACUUUUGACUGGGAAAAAAAAAAGUUGAGUAUUGUGACCUUUAGGACUCAGGCAGUUUAUAACUGGUUGCUUAUAAAUUCCACUGUUUGGAUCCAAAGCCACAUUGGUUUUUUUGUUCUUGUUUUUAUUUGGUACCAGGGAUUGAACCCAUGGAGUUCAACCACUGAAGCACAUCCACCCUGUUUUUUAUUUUUUAUUUUGAGACCAGGAUCUCACUAAAUUGCUGAGGGCCUCGAUAAGUUCAAAGCCACAUUGUUUAAAAGAAAGAACUGUGACGAUUGGUUUGGUGUUUUAGACCAGACUCCAAAAAGCUACUAUCUAAUGUAGUUCUACCCAUUGCAUUUUUAAAAAUCCAUAAGCUCAGGCCAUCACUGCAACAUAGCUUCCAGAGGAAACAAAUUUUGAAUUAUAACCUGGAACUCCAAGAAAGAAUCCUAACACCUCACCACCCUGUGGAAUCACCACACCAAGAAUGCCAGAAUCUCUGGGGAAGCCUGGUAAGGUGUUCUUAGAGCUGCCAAUGCAGAGCCAGGCUAAGAGCUACAGCUCUGACUGGUUGAGGUUUAUAUAUAUACAUGCAUAAAAACAGUUAACUUAGCAUAAAGAAUGAUGUGCAUUAUGGAAAGAAUAAAUAUUAAUCUUUGAUGAAAACUUUAAAAAAUAUUCUAUUACUGCAGAGAUUGUAACACACAAUUUCAGUUUGAAAGAGGUUAUAAAUACACAAGCAACCCAUAAAUUAAGACCUGGAUGGCAAUACUAUUAGUUCCUUUGCCAGCUAAAACAGACUGGGGUUUUCAUGCCUGUGGGCAUGAUUAAUUUUUCCUUAAUCUAUUGUCCUUUUUAUGAGGUUAAACAAUGUAAACUCUUUUUUCUUUUUCUUCUCUAAAAUGUACUGUGUAUUUACAGUAAAAGUUACAUUUUAGAGCCCAUAUGUGCCUGACCAAAGAAUGAAAAAUGUUAACUUUCUUUAAUACUUAAAGAAUAUCAUGUAAUGAAUCAAACAUUUAUUUUAAAAUGUCUUAUAUCUUGCCAUUUUCAAACCACAUAAUCCAACAUAAGCAUGUUCCAAAAACAAAAUAGACCAAAUAGAAAAGUUUUUUUAAAAGAACUAAUGCAUAAAUGGCUUGUUUCACCUUAAGAUUAUACGGUCCCAAAUAACCUUUGCAGUUAAUCUGCAAACCGAUUUACAGAAAGUACCUUUCAACUGAUAAAUACUUCCUUGUUUUCUUUAGGAUUGAGCUCACUGAAAAUUUUAUAUAACUAUCCAUAACAGAUUAUUCUUAAUUUCUAUAUAAAAGUGAACAGAUUGAGAAAGCUGCUUUCUCUAAAUUAAUCAAAGGAGUAUCUUAACUAUAACAUGAUCUUUACAAAUAGCUGCAGAUUUUUUUUUCACUGUGAAAAACUAAUUGAUCUAUAAAUUAGAAAUUUUUACCUGAUGAUAACAUAAUGCCAUGAAACAUAUUAUGCUUUCCACUUUUGAGACCUCAGAAUUGGAGGUUAUUUCUCUGGCAUGAUUGUGAUUGUUAAGGAAAAGUAGAGGAUUCCCCCCACCCUCCAGAGUUGUUCAAUAGGAAUGAAAACCAGUUUAGCCAACUGAACAGGAGAUUUGCAGAAAUUCUUUACUUGAGAUUCGGUUCGCCUGCCAAACAGCACAGGUGUGCGUUUCAACAGCUCAAGGAUUUUCUAAGCAUAAAAUUUGGUUUCAGUAUACAUUAGCUCCUUCCUAGAUUCCAGCGAGGUGGGGUGCUGCUAAUCAGGUGGGAAGGAACUGAAGUCCUGGUAAUUACUGUAUUAACUAAAAACAACAACUGCCCAGGAGCCAAAGAUUGUUCCACCAAGGUGAAGAAGACAUUAAGACCAACACUAAGAUAUCAAAAGAGCAUAUCUGUGUUCUUCUUCUUUCCAUUUUCCCAUAACACUCUUAGUUUCUGUAUUGUGUACAUGGGUUCUAUGAUAUUUAUAAUCUUCUUAGUAUGAAAACUUCAGACUGAUAUUAGUAGUUAGGAAAUAAACACUCUUAUCAUUGUUUAUAUAUAAAUGUAUAUGUUUAUACACUUUUUUUUUUUUUGCAAAUUAUAAAUAAGCAGUUGCCUUAUUUCGUCAUUUGUCAACCUCUGAGACUCUCCUGUGUUGGAAUGUUUCCACGGGCCCAUUACAAGUUGAUGCCACUUACCGUGUGGAUCUGCUUUCCUACAUUCAUUUGAAACACACUCACUCUCAGUUCUGAGCUAACUUAAGAUCAUCUAGGUUCCUCCUGACCCCUGGAGGGUUCCUCCUGAGCCCCUAGACAGUUCCUCCUAACUGUCUUUCGAUUCCUAAUAAACUUAAUCUAGCAGACAAGCACCAGGGAGAGGAGCAAGCAUUUCCCUCUAGGUCCUCACUGCCUUAUUUUCUAUCCACUGUCUCCCUCCUUGGCUAUGUUAAAAGAGGGUGUAUCGAUAGGGGUACGUGGAGAAAAUGUUUGAAAGGUUUGUACAUGUAGUCUUAUUUUCACUUUUUUUUCCCUUGAUACUGGUGAUUGAACCCAGGGUCACUUAACCACUGAGCCACAUCCCCAACCUUUUUUAUAUUUUAUUUAGAGAGAGGGUCUUGCUGAGUUAGGGCCUCACUAGGUUACUGAGGCUGGCUUUGAACUCAAGAUCCUCCUGCCUUAGCGUCCAGGCAUGUGUCACCACCCCACCCUUUUUAAUAUUUUAUUUUGUGACAGGGUCUCACUAACUUGCUUAGGGCUUCAUUAAAUUGCUAAGGCUGGCCUCAACCUUGCAAUCCUCUUGCCUCAGCCUCCCAAGCCAUUGAGAUUAUAGGCAUGCCCUACUGUAACUAACUGGCUUAUUUUCACUUUUUAGUAAAAUUAGAAACAUGCUAAAGCAAAGAAGUUCAGACUAUUUAUGAAAGAAAGUGAGGUGGUGGAGAGGGGACAGACAAUGGGCAUAAGAGAAAAUCCUAGCUCUGUAUCGAUUGGUGCAGUCCACCUAACUUGGUCAACAUCACUUCUUCAACUAUAAAGCAGGAAUGAAAAUAGCUCCUUUAAAGCUGUUGUGAGGAUUAGAGGCAAGGCAUGUAAAGGUUUGGAAUGUGGUGGAUGCUCAGUAAACAACGGAUGUCAUUCAGUUGACUCAUGCUUUUCAUUUCCCUGGGUCUUUUUAAAGCUUUAAAAUUCCAUUUUCCAUAAAAGUGGUAUUGAUCGGAGUUAGACCCACUUGCAGUAAGUAAAUAUGGAUGAACUGUGCUGCAGAUAUUCAAAUAAAAAGGCAGAAAGUGUUCAGUAGAGUGCUAACAAAGGAGAGGUUGCUGCCAAGGGUGAGAGCAGAGGGAGUGGAGGCAGGAGCAGGGAGGCAGGUGGGACGGGGCAGGGGUGCCUAAGGACGAGAGGCGGAGUGAGGAAAGAAGCUGAGUUCAAAAGGUCGAGCAAUCCUCCUGCCUCAGCCUCCCAAGCCACUGAGAUUAUAGGCGUGCCCUACUGUAACUAACUGGCUUAUUUUUACUUUUUAGAAAAAUUAAAAACAUGCUAAAGCAAGGAAGUUCAGUCUAUUUAUGAAAGAAGGUGAGGUGGUGGUGCUCUUGUCCCAAGAGCAGUGGAUAGACAUACAAGUACCAGACAAGUGCUAACAGAAAUGUAAGGAGAGAAAAACGGCUAAGAAAAUAAUGGAUAAAGAGGUGGGAAGUCAGAGGUGGGUGAAAGACAGUAGGAAAAGAGGAGAGACCUCUUACAGCCUUCACUCUUCCGCAUUUUUAGGAAGGGGUAGUAAGCCACACAGGUAUUGCCUCUCACCAAAUGGAGAGACUUUCACCUGUCCCUGCCCCUCAGUGGAACUGGAGCAAUGCUUGUUCCAAACUACUCAGGAGUCCCAGGUGUACCACGUGGCUCACUUCAUAGGAAAUUAAAAAUUAAUUCUUUCAGGAUCAAAAAUACAUGGUCUUAUAAAAACAUACCAUAAACAAAUCAUUGACUUUUCCUUCAAAAUGUAGAUCUUCCCUUACUUUCAUCUAAUAAACAUUGAUAUUGGCAUCUUUCAGGUAAGUGGCCAUCCUAAGCAGAUGUGUUCCAUCCACAUCUACUGGGUGUAAGAACACACCAAAAAUGAAUUAAAACAAUUUUAAAUAACUUGAUUUACCCUUAGUUUUCAUCAGAUUGCUUGUAUCAUCCGAAGUAUUUGAACAGGGUACCUAAUUUCCUUAUUUCCAUGUGAGUUUAGAUUUUGCAGUAGGGGAAUUACGGUUCACUAAUACUCUGUUUAACAGUGUCCUAGGAAUUGCUGACCCAUUAUAUCAUGGGUUUGGUCUUUUUUUUUUUUUUUUUUUUUGGACUAGGGGAUUGAACCAGGGGUGUUUAACCACUGAGCUACAUCCCCAGCUCCUUUUUUGAGAGGUAGGAUCUCGCUAAAUUGCUGAGGCUGGCUUGGAACUUGGGAUCCUCUGCCUCAGCCUCCCAUUUUGCUUGGAUUGUAGGCUUGUGCCACCACCCCCAACAUGGAACAUUUCUCGUAAAGUGAGUGUGUCUGUGUGUGUGUAUAUGUACAUGAGUGUGUGUGUGUGUGUGUGUGUGUUGGGGUUCAUCUCCAUGGCGGGGGUUCACCUCCAUGAGCACUUGCUCACAUAACUCUACAGUUCAUUUCUCUUUUGCUGUCAUUUCUAGAACAGUAUUAGUCACCAUUGAAUCAAUCCCGAGUACAGCAUUGCACGCCUGUAGCUCCAGGUGUCCUUCCACCCGCUGUGAAUAUGGUGAACAAAACAGAAGAAGCCCAUGCCCAAUGAGGCUUAUGAUCCCCUGGGGAGACUAGGAACAGGUAAGAAUUUGGUAUCAUAGGUCACAUGUGCUGAAGAGAAAAAUAGCUGGUGGGGGCUAUGAGGUAUAUAAAGGGGGUGUUUUUAAAAUUUUAAUUAGGUGGCUAGGGAGCCGACUCUGGGAAGAUCACUUUGUGGUAAAGGCUUGAAGAAAUGAGGGCAUUGAGCACGUGGAGAGCUUUAGGCAGAACAUUCCCAGAGAGAAGAGCACAUUGAACUUGUCCCAAGAGCAGCGGAGAGGCCACUGGAGAGGUCAGUGGCUGCAGCAGAGAGACUGAAGGAAAGAGUAAGAGAAGAGGACAGAGAGGUAAUGGGCCUCGUAUGUCUAACCAUGUGUGUGUCUGUUUUCCUGCAUGUACUGCGUGUCUACAUGUGUGCAUGUGCCUAUGUGUCUGUGUGCCUCUGUGUGUCCAUGUGUGUCUCUUGUGUGCGCGUGUGCAUGGGUGUGUGUUGGGGUGUAGGUUUGUGUAGCUCGCACAGUCCUAACAACAGCUUGUACUCUGAGUGUGAUGAGAAGACGCUGGAGAAGGGGCGUGACAUCUGACAUGUUUGGGCACUUCUCUGAGGACAGCUGGAGGGAGGCAGCCUAGAAGCAGGAUGGAGGCUACUGCAAACCUCCAGCUGCGUGGGGAGGCAGCUUAUCAGCUGGUGAUGUCUGUGUGGUUAAAAAACGGCCCAAUAUUGAGUUUGGAUAUAUUUUGAGGGCAGAGCUGACAAGAUUUGCUGAGGAACUGUGACAUGUGAGACAAGCCAAGGAAGACCCCAGGGUCUGGGCUUCUACUCUAGAGGGAUGCAGCUGUCUUUUACCGAGAUGAGGAACCCUGUAGAGAGGCAGGGAUAGGGCGGCCUCAGCACUUCUGUGGGAAACCUGUGGGUGUGAGUUCCAGUAGACAAUCAGGAGGAGACGCCGAGAAGACAGCUGAAUCUGCAGAUCCACAGAGGGACCUCUGAGGGCCACCUGUGGUCGGGUGGUGUGUGACAUCGGGAGACUAGUGAGAUCCAGGGCUGAGUGGAGACAGAAACAAGAUGGCCCAGGGGCCGUGCCCUGACUUCUUCCUCCAUUUCGCAGCCAAGGAGGUGAGGAGGCGUGAACAGAAGAGGGGGAGAAGGGAUAGCGCCCACAGGGGAGAUCCCAGGGCCAGAACCCUGGAAGCCACGUGAAGAAACUGGAUUAUGGAGGAAGGUGUGGAGCCCAGCCCUGGUGAGACGGCCAGCUGCAGGAAGAAGAGACCAUCUAGCCCUUGGUGGCCUUGGGGAGAGCUCUUCAGGUAGAGAGGGUGGGAGCAGGUUCAUUGACAAGAGAGGGAGAGGUGGAGAUGGAAAAACAGGCUCCCUUCAAAGGGAGGAGAGAGGGGUUUGGAACCUGGAAGGCAAAGUGGGGCUGUGAAAAGCAUUUUAUUAAGAUGAGAGAAAUCACAGGUUAGGGCCUUCUGGAGCUUGGAGACUGGAGUAUGGUGUCCACGCCAAGGACCACACAUGGCCAUGGCCCAUUCCAUGCCUGGCUUCUCCCACGGAGUACACCCACGUAGGUUAGCUCCCCUAAGAAAAGAGUUCAGAUGCCGCUUUUCCUCUACAUUUAUGUGUACUUGAGUUUGUGCUAAGAUAAAUCCCUUAGUUUGACAUUAUUUAAAAAUCAAUAUGACAAACAUCUUAUUGUUCUAGAAUUACCAGAGUUAGAAAGCACUAUUUAAUUCAACAUUUUCAAAUGAGGAAACUGGAAUCCAAAGCGACUUCUUAAUGCAUAUGAAGUCAUAAAGCAUGUAUUGGGGUAUUGUGUUAACUUAACACUUUGUAUACCUCAUUCUUCAAAAAUGUGUGGAUUAAAAAAUCAUCUGAGCUGGGCACAGUGGCGCGCGCCUGUAAUCCCAGUGCCGCGGGAGGCAGAGGCAGAGGCAGGAGGAUUGCGAGUUCAAAGCCAGCCUCAGCAACAGCAAGGCACUCAGCAACUCAGUGAGAUCCUGUCUCUAAAUAAAAUACAAAAUAGGGCUGGGGAUGUGGCUCAGUGGUCAAGUGCCCCUGAGCUCAAUCCCCAGUACAAAAAAAAAAAAAUCUGAGUUUAGUGCUGAAGAAAAACAUGAAUUUGAAUAAUAUCUAAAAGUUGAAAGCUAUCAUAUUUCUCCUCAAAGAUAUAUUGAUGCUGAUAAAAUACAAGUAACUCACUAGGUGUUGUGGUUCAAGUUCAUGUGGAAUCAUCUCUGUAAAUGACAGAUCAUGAAAAUGACAGAACAUGAAAAGAAAGGAAGUCAUAAUAGAGCUGAUAUGCCGAUGAUAUGGCAAAGCCUAGACACACCUCUCUUUUUGGUUCAAAGCAAUAGCUGUUUCUAUGCUUAAUGUAGGGUUUGCGAAGAAAUAAUAAAAAGAGCUAGAGAACAAGGUUAGCAUCGUGUUUUGCCUGGGAUUAUUUCAAGUGCCACACCUCUAGGAUGUCUCUCGUAUUAAUCUCUCUGACAAAGGAAUAGACCCUGUGUCAAAUACUUCCUCACCAUACAGUCUGUCCACCUAUAUAACCCUAUUGUGUUAAGCAGUGUUGCUUUUUCCAAUCAGAGCUUCUUUUGAAAGAUUAUAUUGUAAUUUUUUGACACAGUUAAUCAAAGCAGCCAAUGAAAUUAAGCAAACCAGUAUGUUCUGUUUGUCCUCAAGUUUCUGGUUUAUAACUGUUCAGGAGAAAUGUAAAGAAUAAUAUGCUGUUAUUUCAUGUUAAUUUCCAAAUGUAAGCUGGGCAUGGUGGUGCACACUUGUAAUCCCAGUGACUUGGGAGGUUGAGGCAGGAGGAUCACAAGUUUGAGGCCAACCUCAGCAACUUAGGGAGACCCUGUCUCAAAAAGUAAAAAAGAGGCUGGGGAUAUAGUUCAGUUGUGUAGAGCCACUGGGUUCAAUUCCUAGUACCAAAACAAACUAAUAAUUUCCAGAUGUAACUGAGAGGAUCAAGUGAAUUAGAACAAGGCUAUUUAC
This 9654-nucleotide long non-coding RNA is filed under the name Marmota monax (woodchuck). Lineage: Eukaryota; Metazoa; Chordata; Mammalia; Rodentia; Sciuridae. The record is from RNAcentral.